AGAGAGAGACAUGCGCGCAUAUCAAUAAGCGGAGGAAAAGAAACUAACAAGGAUUCCCUUAGUAACGGCGAGUGAAGCGGGAAGAGCUCAAAUUUGAAAUCUUCAAGGUUUUACCUUGACGAAUUGUAGUUUAAAGAAGUGUUUUCUGCUGAAGUUUUGGUAAAAGUUCUUUGGAAUAGGACAUCAUAGAGGGUGAGAAUCCCGUAUUUGACCAUUAUUUUCAGCUUUGUGAUACACUUUCAAAGAGUCGGAUUGUUUGGGAAUGCAGUCCAAAAUGGGUGGUAAAUUUCAUCUAAAGCUAAAUAUUGGCGAGAGACCGAUAGCGAACAAGUACCGUGAGGGAAAGAUGAAAAGAACUUUGAAAAGAGAGUUAAACAGUACGUGAAAUUGUCAAAAGGGAAGCGUUUGACACCAGUGUUGUUUUCUCGAAAAUCAAUUAAAAAUGGCUCGAUUUUGUAUUGUUGAGACCUUAAAAGCUCACUGUACAUUUUUCGUGUCUUUUUUAAUGCACUUUUCGUUUAACAAGUCAACAUCAGUUUCUUUUGUUGUAAAAGGGUCAUUGGAAGGUGGCUUUCUUUUCGGAGAAAGUGUUUAUAGCCUUUGGCCUCUGCAAUCGGAAGAGACUGAGGUCUGCAGCGUAGACUCUUCGGGGUUAGAUACAUUUGUGCUAAGCUAUAGCUUUUUAUAGACAACUUGUUGACUAUAAUUAGUCUUGUAGCUUACUCGCUUAUGCUAUUUUACCUACGCUUAGGAUGUUGAAGAUGUAGCACAUCAU
This 775-nucleotide ribosomal RNA is filed under the name uncultured Neocallimastigales. RNAcentral describes it as "partial large subunit ribosomal RNA". It matches the Rfam family "Eukaryotic large subunit ribosomal RNA", at positions 23 to 634 of the family's 3401-position model. The record is from RNAcentral. Lineage: Eukaryota; Fungi; Neocallimastigomycota; Neocallimastigomycetes; Neocallimastigales.